GACGAACGCUGGCGGCGUGCUUAACACAUGCAAGUCGAACGGAAAGGCCCUGCUUGCAGGGUACUCGAGUGGCGAACGGGUGAGUAACACGUGGGUGAUCUGCCCUGUACUUCGGGAUAAGCUUGGGAAACUGGGUCUAAUACCGGAUAGGAACCAUCUUUAGUGUGGUGGUUGGAAAGUUUUUUCGGUGUAGGAUGAGCUCGCGGCCUAUCAGCUUGUUGGUGGGGUAAUGGCCUACCAAGGCGGCGACGGGUAGCCGGCCUGAGAGGGUGUACGGCCACAUUGGGACUGAGAUACGACCCAGACUCCUACGGGAGGCAGCAGUGGGGAAUAUUGCACAAUGGGCGCAAGCCUGAUGGAGCGACGCCGCGUGGGGGAUGAAGGCCUUCGGGUUGUAAACUCCUUUCGCUAGGGACGAAGCGUUGUUGUGACGGUACCUAGAUAAGAAGCACCGGCUAACUACGUG
Molecule: ribosomal RNA, 466 nt
Filed under: uncultured bacterium
Lineage: Bacteria
Description: partial 16S ribosomal RNA
Rfam family: Bacterial small subunit ribosomal RNA
Source: RNAcentral